Molecule: long non-coding RNA, 3303 nt
Organism: Columba livia (rock pigeon)
Lineage: Eukaryota; Metazoa; Chordata; Aves; Columbiformes; Columbidae
Exons: 3
Source: RefSeq, a predicted model, not a curated record
CUCUUCACGUGACUGGCGGCGGGCGGGAAGGCGCUGGCUCAGUUCGCUCCCCGUUCCGGGUCAUCGCCAGGAACCGUCUUCGGUCACGCCGCUUCCCCCUGACAGGGUUGUGCCUCUGGCAGCAAACGGAGCUCCGUGUCGCGCCCCGGCAAUGACUGCCGCCUCAGGAACUGGAGUUUUUAAGCGGCCGGGGGUUGAUGAAAGACGUGACAGAAGGAGAAUCAAUAACUUCAGGAAGAAAAAAAAGAAAUAAGAAGCCUUCAAAUAUACAAUGGAUUCCUGAACAGCUAUUCAAAAUUCAUCCACUCCCUGUGGCUGGAACGGGAAGGGGAAAUGGCCAACCAACAGUGAAGGAAAGCAGAUCUUAACCGGGGUUUUCAGUCAGAUGAACACAAACAUCCUUAGUAUCAGCAACAUCCACUAAGGACUAUGAUGUCUCCACUGGACUGGCACACAAGUAGGCACAGCCACAUCAUCAGAACAUGACAGAGCAAAAUCCACUUUUAUCCUGGGAUAAGGAUUCACUUUACUGGCCUAAGCAAUAGUACAGAAGAAUUGGGAAGACAUCAAUUUUAGCAUAGCACGUGCCUAUAAAACAAGAAAUCUAUUGAAUACUAUGAAAAGCAAGACAUGAAAAUACUUUUAAAAUUCAGUAACUAUUCAAACUCGGCAGAGUUUCCAAACAUAACUCCGUAGAGAAUUCUUACCGCCAAGUUACGAGAUGAAAUCUCUGCUCUGUAACUUCGAACAUCCUCCAAGUCCAGAGUGGCAACCAGCACCUCCUACGGAAAGGCUUUCAAUGUUAGAUCGGUUCUACACAAACAAAUAAACAACACUUGGACUACAAAAAACACUGGAGAAGAAGAACGCAUGCAACUUCUUUCAAUCCUGGUUUGUAUGCAUACACAAACAUUUUCAGGAAGCUCUUGUACUGUGAGAGCUCUUCCUUGCUCUCAAGAGAAGGCAAUUUUACUAGGAAAAACCUUGGAUCUUGUUGAAUAACAUAGUAAAAAUAAAUCUUUUUUAGUCUAGAGACAUGGACCUAAUAUCUGGAACAUCUGGGAAGUGUUGAGCAUAAAUGCAGCAGUACUAAUUUCAGCUGUAACCAGCAGCUAUAGGUUGAAUAUAUUACCACAUCAUCAAGUGAAAACUGGGAUCCUUGUGCGACUGUUUCUCCAUUCACCGAAAUCAUGGCACAGCCGUCAUAAUACAGACGAUCGCCGUCACAGCCUUUCUGGUUAGCUAAAAUAUAUAUUCCACCGUUCUGGGAGGAAAACAAAGAUGCAGACAAAAAAAGUGCUUUUCAGAAUAUAGCGCCUGACAGAAUGUUAAAAGGCAAAAUGCUAUUUAUCUGUUCCUGGCCUUCUUAUCAUUUUCCUAAGUCUUUAUAUUGUGAAUUAUUUACAGCUAGGACACUCUCUUGUCAUUUGUAAAACUACUUUGCAUGUGAUACGCACAAUGGAAAGAAGUAACUACAAAAGUAAAUGUAGUAACUGAGCUGUAUCCCUUUCACGUUGUUGGAGUCUUCUGUUAUUAGCCCAAACAGAGAGGGCUGCACUUCUAAAUCGAAAUUCAAAGUCCAAAUUGAGACUGGGAAAAGCAGGAAGAUGACAACAGGUGUGUUUGGAUAUCUGAGGACAAAGCAGAUGCUGCUAAAUAGAACCAAAGCGUGUUAAAUUACGAUGACAAAGCAGUUAAACAAAUAGAACAUUUUUCACAGUGUAAUGUACAUUCAUUACUUUGGUUUGUCUCCAUCACUUGGACAGGAUUACAGUCUAAUAACUAAAUGUCUGCUCUUCUUCAAAAUAAACAGAACCUUCAAAGUAGAAAAAAAUUGAAUAUAUUUUAAGUAAGAAGAUGAUGGGGAAAAAUAAUGAAGUCUGAGUUUAAACACUUAUUUCUAUUUCCCCUUUCUGAUACAGUUACCAGGACUUCUCCAGCACAAUGUUGCUAUGUGAACAAAAACUGGGAAAAAAACUGACAUUUUAAGGAAACAAAGAGACUUUUGGAUGGUUUUAUAUGUGCUAGGGAAAUAAUCCCCUUUGUUGAUGGAACUACAAGCUGGCAAUGAGCUGGCAAUUCAGCACAUGAAGUCAGUUAUUCUGAUGAACCAUUUUCUAUCCAUUUCUAUCCAUUAUACAUUUAUCCAUGAUAUAUUUUUUUUCUUCUGUGCUUAACAGAAUUAAGACUGAGGACAUCAUAUGCAUUUUUUGGAGCAUAGGUCUCCAGAGCUGGGAGUUAUCAAGCUGUUUUAAGGUAUUUUUAGUGCUUGUGAAAGAUACUAUACUUGGCAUGCCAGUGCAGGACUAGAUGUUCUUCUGGUCUGCUGCUCCACAGACCAGACAGAGCCAACAUGCAGUCAAACAGCUUCUGGCAUUUGGGGUCACAGAGCUGGAAAUAAAUUAGUGUUUCACAUUAGAGCAAGAUAUAUAGCAGGAUGCCCCAAAUAAGUACAGUCCCCCUGCCAGAGAGCUCUGCCCCUAUAGCUGAUUCAAUCAGGGAAGGGAAUUAUAGGUAAGAAAACAAAAAGCUAACAACCAAGUCUGUCAAGGCCUCCACAUUCACAUAGGAAAUGCUACAUCCUGUCACAAGAGAGACGACUUCUGAAAUAAAGUGAGGUGCGUAACCAAAAACACAUUAUUUUAUUAAGCGUAUACCUUUGCUGUGGCAGAAUUCACCAAAUCCACGCGGGUGUGAGCCUUCCGCAGCACGUGGUGACUCCCUGAAGAGUUAGUGAAAAUUUCCACGCCGUCAAGCCCCAUUUCAAUAUGAGGGCUGGCAAAGCAAAAGGCAGGAACAAAAUUCAGCUGGUAAUACUAUGCUGUGGGUACUACAGGCAUCAUUUAAAACCACCGACAAGUAAAAACAUCUGUGUCGUUGCCAGUUUUCUGCAUGUCUAUCCAAAUAAGGAUAGGACUCACAAAAACAUCUGGUUUUUUGCAUUGCCUGACUCUUCUGUCAAAGACCAGUGGUGGCUGCAAAGAGCAAAAGGGUUUUUGCUCCUUUUGCUCUAAGUGAAUGUCUGUAACUGAGAGAUUUACAAAAAACAUCAGGAAUAUUUUGCUUAUUUUAUGGUAACUACAACAGCUUUCACGUUUUUUUGUCUCUCCACCCCCACCCCUCAUCAGACCUUUGUGAAUGGGAUCUUCUUUAUUGUUGGGAAAAACUUUAAAUUGUAACAAGAAUUAAAAUAAUAACAGGAAGUAUUCAGGGCACUAGGCUUUGCUUUUGUUGUUUCCUUCUGCAUUAUCUUCAUGCAUUGUCUGAUGCUGCUUAAAAAAUAAAGCAGAAGGACGAAGCUAA